UGACGCCUAACGAGCUAGAUGGAAGCUUGUGGAUGAAGCGGGUCAAACGGAGCAAGUACGGAAAGAAAAGCGUGCCAUGGAUGCAAUGAUGAACGGCUCGGGAAUUAGCGAAGCUAUGAAAUAGCAAAUAAAUGAAGACAAGGUAUUAAAAUGGGUCAAUAUGUUGAUCCGAGCCAGGUAAACUUUAGUAAGCUUACGGAUGAAGAUCAAGCUCGUUGAAGGACCGAACACAAUGCAGUUACAAGCUUCCGCACAUAGUUUAGUCGUUAUUUCUAAACGGCAAAUUUUUACCAAUCAUGAUGUAACGUUAUAAAAUUUAGAAAAGUUUUAAUUAACUUGUAUUCUUAAUUGAUAUGUAAUCAUGAUUACAUGUUUAUUUUCAUAAAUUAUACUAAAACAUUA
Helianthus annuus (common sunflower) is the source of this 402-nucleotide long non-coding RNA. RefSeq lists it as uncharacterized. NCBI's taxonomy places the organism in Eukaryota, Viridiplantae, Streptophyta, Magnoliopsida, Asterales, Asteraceae. The record is from RefSeq and is a predicted model, not a curated record. The transcript is spliced from 3 exons.